RNAcentral lists this ribosomal RNA (1103 nucleotides) under Leuconostoc mesenteroides. RNAcentral's name for it is "bacterial SSU rRNA". It matches the Rfam family "Bacterial small subunit ribosomal RNA", at positions 341 to 1436 of the family's 1533-position model. Lineage: Bacteria; Bacillati; Bacillota; Bacilli; Lactobacillales; Lactobacillaceae. The record is from RNAcentral.
ACGGGAGGCUGCAGUAGGGAAUCUUCCACAAUGGGCGAAAGCCUGAUGGAGCAACGCCGCGUGUGUGAUGAAGGCUUUCGGGUCGUAAAGCACUGUUGUAUGGGAAGAACAGCUAGAAUAGGAAAUGAUUUUAGUUUGACGGUACCAUACCAGAAAGGGACGGCUAAAUACGUGCCAGCAGCCGCGGUAAUACGUAUGUCCCGAGCGUUAUCCGGAUUUAUUGGGCGUAAAGCGAGCGCAGACGGUUUAUUAAGUCUGAUGUGAAAGCCCGGAGCUCAACUCCGGAAUGGCAUUGGAAACUGGUUAACUUGAGUGCAGUAGAGGUAAGUGGAACUCCAUGUGUAGCGGUGGAAUGCGUAGAUAUAUGGAAGAACACCAGUGGCGAAGGCGGCUUACUGGACUGCAACUGACGUUGAGGCUCGAAAGUGUGGGUAGCAAACAGGAUUAGAUACCCUGGUAGUCCACACCGUAAACGAUGAACACUAGGUGUUAGGAGGUUUCCGCCUCUUAGUGCCGAAGCUAACGCAUUAAGUGUUCCGCCUGGGGAGUACGACCGCAAGGUUGAAACUCAAAGGAAUUGACGGGGACCCGCACAAGCGGUGGAGCAUGUGGUUUAAUUCGAAGCAACGCGAAGAACCUUACCAGGUCUUGACAUCCUUUGAAGCUUUUAGAGAUAGAAGUGUUCUCUUCGGAGACAAAGUGACAGGUGGUGCAUGGUCGUCGUCAGCUCGUGUCGUGAGAUGUUGGGUUAAGUCCCGCAACGAGCGCAACCCUUAUUGUUAGUUGCCAGCAUUCAGAUGGGCACUCUAGCGAGACUGCCGGUGACAAACCGGAGGAAGGCGGGGACGACGUCAGAUCAUCAUGCCCCUUAUGACCUGGGCUACACACGUGCUACAAUGGCGUAUACAACGAGUUGCCAACCCGCGAGGGUGAGCUAAUCUCUUAAAGUACGUCUCAGUUCGGAUUGUAGUCUGCAACUCGACUACAUGAAGUCGGAAUCGCUAGUAAUCGCGGAUCAGCACGCCGCGGUGAAUACGUUCCCGGGUCUUGUACACACCGCCCGUCACACCAUGGGAGUUUGUAAUGCCCAAAGCCGGUGGCCU